This is a non-coding RNA of Podarcis lilfordi (Lilford's wall lizard), 1313 nucleotides long. The record is from the annotation of a GenBank genome assembly. NCBI's taxonomy places the organism in Eukaryota, Metazoa, Chordata, Lepidosauria, Squamata, Lacertidae.
GGGAGGAACCAUGGACAUCUUGGGCGUGGUGGUUAGGAGUAAUAUGUACAGUCCUGGUUCUUUGGAUGAUUUUGUAUUUCUGUUGGCAUGAACGAAGGAGGAUUUGUGGGAAAAAGCGCCCCCCCCUCCUCCAUCCCUUUGAUGAUUCUUUUAUUGUUCUUUGUAUGUCUGACUGUUGGGGAGGAUAAUACAGGCAUAGGAGUCCGGCGGGGGACAGCCCUGUUGAGUAAAACCUCCAGAAAGGAGGACUAUCACAAACUGUGGGAAAAGAAUAUCUAUGUGAGAGAUAUGUUCAAGUUUGCUACUCUGUUGAAGGCUUCAAAUUGUUGGUUAUGUAUGCACAUUCCACCUCAUACGAGGCAUUCCGGCUUAAUGCUACAUGGCAUACCUAUUGACAGGAACUUUUCCAUAACUAAUAAGAUAAAUCCCAAUGAUAUUAAGCGGCCCCCUGUAAUGCUCACGCUUUUCGAACCUGCUCACAUUUGCUUUAAAUUCUCUGAAGGAUCCAGGUCAUGGGGAGUUUACCCCAACUGUUUGCGUAUUAUGGAUUUCAAGUUCAACAGUUCAUGUUCCAAUUUAAUCAACCAUGGCAGCACCUCCCAUUGCUAUCUCUCUGACACUAGUGCAUGGUUGAAAACCACUGAACAGUAUCUUCAGGGGAGGAACUGGGGUUACAACUCCUCCAUUCCUGCAUUAGUAACUAAUUUUGCUGCUUCUUUGCUUCUGUAUCCCCUGCUUGAUGCAAUGUAUGCAAAGUAUGAUGCAAAAGAUGAUAUCCCGCUCGAUGGGUCCCCGUGUGAUAGCUUACAUGAGGGAAUACCGCCCUGUCCCUGUUGAUGCACCUGUCAGUGAUCACAAAGAAGAGGAGGGAAUGAAGGAGAAAGAGGCCCCCUUCUAAUGAAGGAUAAAGAGGCCCCCUUCUAAUGAAGGAGAAAGAGGCCCUGUUCUUAUCUUAUCACAACAGCCCUGAUGAGACAGGCCCAAGGCCCAAGUAAGCCCAGGCGGUGAUCACGCUCCUCACAUGCACAAUACUAACCACAGUCACGAGCUUCCCUGCUGAUAAGCACACCCUGAGCAUGCGGUGGGCACGCCUUGAGCAUGAGGUGUACAUGACUUGGGCACGAGCACAGUCAGUACGUGGGGGGCUGGACACAUGAAUGGGAUAGGCUCAGGGGGCUGAACAGGGCGAAGAAACCAAUGUAUAAAAGGCUUUGCAUGACCUGUAUGUGUGUGCCAGACUUUGGAAGCAAUUCCGCUGGUACCUGCUGCGCAGUAACCGAAUAAACUUUUUCUCUGUGGAAUCACACCCUGGC